This 505-nucleotide long non-coding RNA is filed under the name Chinchilla lanigera (long-tailed chinchilla). RNAcentral's name for it is "lncRNA (ENSCLAG00000023620.1)". The record is from RNAcentral. Lineage: Eukaryota; Metazoa; Chordata; Mammalia; Rodentia; Chinchillidae.
GGGCGGGGCGAGCGCGGUGGGCGGGGCCCGGCCGGGGUCCGACCCCAGGCGCGGAAGGAAGAGCCCCGCAGCGCGAGUAACUUGAAGGCGGUUUCCGCUGCCUCGCGAGUCUUCCUGUUUGUUUUUAAUCAAAGGUCCGGCAGAAUUGCCCCUAGGACCUCACGUCCCUGUGCACCAAAGCGUUUUCGACACCCCCCCCCAGAGACUUGGCUUGCUCCUAGGCCAGCCACGACAGGGGAGCCCACGCGGGAGCGUGGCAGGAAAGGCUGGCCUGGCAGAUGCCUGCAGUCGUUUCCGGAGCUGGGCUCGCGUCGGGGGUCGCGGCUGUCACGGGCGUCUGGGCGUCGCUGACUCUCGAAGGCAGAGUGCAUUUUUGUGCGGAGCGCGUCCAGGCCUUGAUCUCUGCAGCGCUCUGGCGGGCUCAGGACGUUCGUUGCCCUCCGCGCCGUGGGCACUGGUAAAGGCCAGCGCUCUGGGAGACACCCGAGACAUGAUUUAUUUCUGA